RNAcentral lists this ribosomal RNA (432 nucleotides) under uncultured bacterium. Its description in RNAcentral is "partial 16S ribosomal RNA". It matches the Rfam family "Bacterial small subunit ribosomal RNA", at positions 28 to 506 of the family's 1533-position model. The record is from RNAcentral.
GACGAACGCUGGCGGCAUGCCUAACACAUGCAAGUCGAGCGGGACCUUCGGGUCUAGUUGCGGACGGCUGCGUGACACGUGGGGACCUACCCGUGGGUUCGGAAUCCCUCCCCUUAAGAUAUCCUAAUGCCACAUGAUGUCAUCCCGCCUAGGAUUUUGCGCCUUGGGGUGGGCCUGCGUUGGUUUCGCUAGUUGGGAGGGGACACGCCGACCAAGGCGACGAUCCUGGGCUGGUGGGAGAGGAGGAUCAGUCCGACUGGGACUGAGACACGGCUCAGACGCGUACGAGAGGCAGCAGUGGGGAAUAUUGGACAAGGGGCGAGAGCCUGAUCCAGCACUGCCGCGUGAGUGAUGAAGGCGUUAGGGUUGUAAAGCUCUUGUACCCGGGAUGAUAAUGACAGUACCGGGAGAAUAAGCCCCGGCUAAUUCGGU